Molecule: long non-coding RNA, 8632 nt
Organism: Equus caballus (horse)
Lineage: Eukaryota; Metazoa; Chordata; Mammalia; Perissodactyla; Equidae
Source: Ensembl
CUUAACUGUCACCGACAGCACUGCCCAGUCAUAUCUCUUGGUGCACCUGAUGGAGCAGGAACCCUGUAGGGACAUUUGAAACUGAUGUAUUCAGGCAUUUCUGCUAGACUGAGUGUCCCCAAAGGGAACCAGACUGAAGGGAAGAAGUCUAGGAGUCCUUAGAGAAAAUCCCUGUGAUUAAACAUGUUUCGUCGAUUGGAUGUGACGGAGCGGCAGGAAACGUCAGCCAGAUAGCAGAGAUGUCCUCUGCAUCCCUGAGCCAGCUUCUCUGCCCACCUACCCCUCCCCUUCUCCCCUUCCUCAGGGAAAGAGUAGGCUCCAGAGAGGGGAGGGCUGUGGUCCAGAGGAAGCUGAGCUCCAAUACCAGUGGAGUGGUGAUCCAGAGAUGGGCAGCAGUGUGGGGAGUGGCCUCUGUGAGAGGAGACUGACUGGAGCGUGGAGAUGGGGCAGAGGGAGUGCAAAGCCUGUGGGCUUUGCUUUUGGGAUAUAAGUCACCGAGUCUCCUUCCAGGAAAAUUCUGGUGCGAAAGCCUGAAGAGCAGAUGCCCCCAGUCCAAGCUGACGGCUGCCUCUCAGGAAUAAAUGAUCUUUGCAGACUCUAAGCUGCGCACAAACGAAAGGCAUGGAUGGUGCUGUCCUUGAGUUCAGACCAGGAACUACUGGCUCCCCCUGCCUGAGUGUGUGUCCCAGCUCUGCCACCUCCUGUGCCACCUCAGGCGAAGUGCUUUUCAGCAUUUUAUCUUCCUCAUCUGAGAAAAUGCAGAUGAUGAUACUAGCACCUACCUCAGAGAGCUGUUGUGAAGAUUAAACGGGUUAAUUGACAGUGGCUGGCAUAGAGCGAGCACUCAGUAAACGUUAGCUUGUCGCCGCGGCAGGAGGCAUAGAGGCAGAAGAAGGAGAAGGAGGAGUGUGACGGAGGAAACGCAGCCAUCCUUUCCAGAAACCUCAGCCUGGUCCUCGGGGAAGCCCCUCACUCUUCUGUUGGAAGUUCUCCUCUCUAAUCUGUCCUCUGUUUGCCUUCAGUGGUCUGUGGCAUUAGCAUCCAUGUUUUUAAAUCCAUGAGCAAUUGCAGGGCCUUCCUGAGAGAAACGCUGAUCGGCUCCCCUGGGCCGUAGGAUGGUAUAACUGCUGCUCCUUUCUCCUCCUCAGGGAAGGACAUGACGUCCAAGUCUGUCAGCUGAAAGGGGAAAACCUGGCCUCUGGAGGUCCCUUGAUCUUGUUUUCAUUGCGUUCUGUUUCAUCCAGAUCUACACCUCAGAGACUUUUCAAUAGGAAAUAGGAAAAAGAGAGAGAAAGAGAGAAAACAGACCCCGCUUUUUGAUUGGAUCUUGAAAUGGUUUCCUUAGAUGCUGCAGGCUACACAGUCCUGGUUCAACAGCCUAACCAAACACUAAAGGGCAAGAGUAGAAUAUAUCUUCCUCCCAAGAUACGAUUUUACAAGUGCUUUUCAAGCACACUCCUCAUUUAAUGUGUCAGUGUCAGCCUGCAGAAGCCUUAGAGGCCCAGGCCUCUGGGCAACACUGGCCUGCUGGGGCUUCCGGUGGGCAGUGUUGGGGCCCUCCCUCACCUCAGGCCGUUGGGCCGUUGCCUCCGCAGUGAGAUUCGUGUGACCCAAAGCCCUCGGCAAAUGGGAGUGACCACGGAGAGCUGAGGGGAAAAGAGUGUCUUCCUGCCUUUUGAGUUUCAAAAGCCUAGACCUUUAUGGAAAUAGAAAAGCCUUUGGCUUUAAAGGAUUUGGGAGGAAGCCUGGUAGGUAAGAGCACGACACCCCACUCUCCUCCAUACUAUACCCCCAACAAUAGAAGAAGACCCCUCUCGCCUGAGUGGAGGAGAGAAGAAGGGGUACAAGGGACGAUGUUUGUGGGUCCCAGGAAGAGAGCCUACUCUCCAGGUCAAGCCCUGGGAGGUCUGUAGGGCCAUACAAAGAGGGAACCUGUGCCCUAUUUCCCAGGGAAAUCACUAGAGAAGUGGCCGGACUCCAAAAAAUAGAUGGAUAAAGGGCCUUUCUAGAAAGAUGGGGCCUUAGAUGGCCUCCAAAAACUUCCACACAGCUCAGACUAGUUGAAAAUCCAAAACUGGUUCUUUUGAGCCUGAGACAUGGUGUAUCAGUAGAACUGAAACGGUACCAGAAGAUGGGACCCAGGGACAUCCCUGCAGUCCCCUGUGUGCUCCAACAACUGUGGGCCCAACGCAACAAUGGACAUCACAGUGGACACUAUGCAGACAGGUGACACAGAGGACCCGUUAGCCCCCCUGACCCUUUUUAAAGCCCCUGGGACUUGACCAAGACCCUGAGCCAAAAGCAUGAGAAUCCCUGAUGUGACUGGGAUUAUUUUCCCAGCGCCCUAUCGGAUUGACAGCUUCGAAGAUAAAUCGAAAUUGAAAGAUGUAUUUCUGAGAUGUGUGGCCAUUUAGAUACACAUGCACCCUAAAAGGCUACAAAAUAGUGUGCAAACCUUUGAGCCCGGUUAAUCACUGCUGAAGACAUCUCUUCAGAUGAAAGGUUUGUAAGCCUACAGAAAAUAAGUAAAAUUUGUUGUGGGUUGAUUAUUCUGAGGGCUUGUUCCACAUUUGGUGUGGCACUGCCCAGAUGAUGGUAGGAGCGUGGGGAGUAGCCACAGCUACCGCCAAGCUGAGACAGCUCACAAGGCCCACUGCUUCCCAGGGUGGUGGAGGAAGUUGACUAACAUUCUCAGAUCUUCAAAGAGAUUUUGGAAUUCUGAGAGGAAGAGUAACCUAGAGGGCAUCCAAGGUCUGAAAGAAGGAGUUACAGAGGACAAUGGUAAGGACUUUGGUCAUUAGCAGGGGGCAGGAGAGCCAUAACCUGAUGGAUCCCAGCAUCAGACAUUUGACGCCCAGGCCACUGAGCCAUGCUCAGCAGUACUGCAGGGACAGAGGGCCAAGCCCAGUGGGGACCAGACACCCCUUUCCCAGUGCCGGAAAGUACAUUAGUCCCCUUCCUCCCAGGCACUUGAUGCCACCUCCAAAAAAGAAAGGCAGGUGAAAGUGGAGAGAAAAGCAACCCUGGGAAAUAGAACAUUUACCCCAGAAUGAUAAGCUUUGAACUUGACAGUGAUUGAGAAAAUAACAUUUGAGUGUAGCUGAAAAAAAAAUCCCUGGAUUAGAUUGAAUAUGCCCAAAUGGGAAAGAUUGAGUUUUCUGUUCUCAGAAGCAAAGUUGAGUUCAGUAUCCAAAAAUAAUGUCACACUUGCUCACAUUCAAGUUCAUGAUGGUCUGAUAUAGACUUGCAAUACGUGCCUAGGGAGGGACAGGAAAAAUAGUACUGCAGGAGAGUUCUAGAAAAAAAAAGUGGGAAAGCAGCAGGCAAUUAUAGUCAUGGGAGUCCAUAGGCAAGGAGAUGUUGUCCCUGCAAGGAGGGAUUUAUAGUGGGGAAACAUUGCACUUAGGCUAGAAAGCCCACUUAAAAUAAAUUUCACAUUAGAAACUCACAAAGGUAGCAAUAAAGAUAGAACAGAGAAUGAUAUUGGAGGUAUGAAACCAAAAAGGAAGCUGGCUUUUACCAGUCCAGGAGAUAGGAGUAGCAACGUUGAGAAGAAAGGAUGGAUUUCAGAGAGAUUUAGGAAGUAAAAGCAAGAGAAUUUACUGUUUGAUGCUUGACUAAAGAGAGGGCAGUGGAGGAUGAAGGAUUCAGGGUAACUUGUAGCCAGCUCCUUUGGACAACUGAGUGCAAGGGACUGUCAUUCACUAGUUUCACCAGGAAAGGCAGGGGCUGAGAGGACAGCAGUUUGGGUGCGUGGGAGGAAAUUAAGGAGAUGCUGGAUUUGAGGCACCUGUCGCACAUUCAGCUGGAUAGUUCUGCCAGCCAGGAAUUCAGAACAGAGAUCUAGAAAGGAACAAAUAUUUGAGAGUCAUCAACAUACAGAUGGUAGCUGAAGUCAUACUGUGUGUGAGAUUGCCCAGCAGCGGAGCAUAGAAUGAAGAGAUGAAUAAGGGCCCAGGGGCAGAGAUGUGGGAAGGAUGGACCCUGGGCAGAGUAAGAAGAGCCCAUGAUGAGCUGCGGUGAUGAGCAGCCAGGGGGUUGGGAAGUGAACCGAGAGAGCAGGUUCAGGGAUGUGAAUGGAAGGUUUCAAGAGGAAGUGGGCCAUUAGGUCCAGUUCCCAGCGGAGCCUGGCAAGCUGGCAAUUUUGGAGUCAAAGGCUCUAAGUUAGAAUGUUUCUGCAUUUCUUUUCUCUUCUACGGUUGCACGAGUAUAGUUAAGCUUGGGAUGUCUGUAGAUUGCCUGAGUGAAACGCCGGCCAGGAUGGGGUUUUGUUUUCGUUUUUCUCCCACUGCUCCCCUGAUUUAGCUAAGAAAGAAUACAAAGGCAAGAACUAUGUUGGGGGCCACCUUCUGAGCAGACUCCAGCCCUGCAGUUCCUGUGAGACUUUCCCCUUUUUAGCGCCUCCCCGGAGAAACAGAAGCUGGAAUCUCCAAGUCUCUAAAGCACUUUAGAGCAAUAUGGCCAACAUACAAACUAAGUACCCUGAGGACUAUGCCAGGGCCAUAGCGUGCCCUUUCCUUAUAGAGUGCCCCCCCACACAGGAUGCAUCCAUGCUUUGAAUUGCUUUCAAACGGUUUUCAUGGCCAUUUGUCUCCUUGGGAGUUGGAUAGCACUCAGUGCCAACCUUAUUUUGGUUUCUAGACCUGUUUAAAUUUCUGCCCCCUUUUUAUCCCACUACAUGGGCCACUCUAAAUAUGCCCAAUCACUUUGUUUUUCAGUCACAAAUGGAAACAAAAUGGGUUAAUCAACUCUCCUCUGAGCAAUCCUCCUCAGAGGGUGUGUGUGCAGAAGUGUCUCCAAGAUUUCCGUCCUCCCUCCUGGUCUCCUCCAGCCCCACUCAGGUCCUCCUGCAUUUGAAGACGUACUUGUCUCCUGUUGCAGUGGGAGAAAGGCCCUCCCUUCUAACACUGGUUGAGCUGAGAGUUCUACUCAUCAUAGCAACUCAAGACUCGGGCCUACUGAAGAACCACCAUUUCAAACAUGACAGUCAUUGUGCCAGAGUGAAAAGAGGGCUCUGGAAUGUUCCAUAUGAGCAAUGGUUGCUCACAACUCAUUGGUGGGAGUAGUCACAUGGCCCACCCAACAAUGAAGGAGCCAGGAAGCUUAGCUCCACUGAUGAACGUCACUAAGCAGAACCAUGUUGUUGGGAGACAGUUCUCCAGGGCUCUCCUGUUUCUGCAUGUCUUACAAGCAGAGGCACUGAGAGCUUUCGUUCCAGGCCAUCUUUCAAGAAUGUCUGUACAGCAAAGAGCCCUGACGGAUAGAAAUUAUGCUUCAUUCUGGAGCAUGGGGCAGGCUUGUUUACUGUCCAGUAUAAUAGAGAUUAUGUCUUUCUGAGGUAACAGAUGGGCCAGCUUGCUUGGACCCCAUUAAAAAGAUAGGGGUUCCCUAAGCUCCAAGUUCCUCACCUGUGAUGCAAACCCAUACAUCACCCCUGUGGGAUCCGGGGAGAGGGGGAAUUGACAUGAAUAUGAAGUUCCUGCUACUUUCUGUGCCAUGAGAAAUAAAGUCCUUUGUCUCUGACCUGGUGUCUUGUGUCUUCUGUCAGUAUCCAUGAAAGUGCAGCAGGCUAAGUCUCGAGACAAAGAAGGUUCCCACUCUCAUGGGGCUGUUAUAACAGUGGGGCCACUUUCAUUCUUGUCACUUCAUCAGAAAGGUCUUUCCUGACCACUUCCCUGCAAGUAAUUCUCUACCACAUCAUCCUAUUUCCUUCACAGAAAUUGGGAAAAUCUAAAAAAUGAAUUGUUAAUUUUCCAUUUUCCUCCUCUUGAAUGUAAGCUCCUUGAAAGCUCCCGUCACCAUCUUCAGUGCCAGAAACUGCGGUCUGGCACAUAUCAGGGACUCAAAAUAGCUAUGUUGAAGGAAGAGAGAGGAAGAAAAAAUCAGCGUGGGUGUUCCCAGCCCACAGCUGGCCUGAGUUCUUCUGAACAGCUCCGGAGUUUUAAGUGCACUCAAAGGAGUUGACCAAAGGGAUGGCUAAGCUUUUAGGAGAGGUUAGCCAGUGAGAAUCAACCAGGCUUGGAGAUCUUUUUCCCAUCAGGAACAAGAAGACUGGACCUAUUCCCAUGCCAAAGUGCAUCCCCGGAGAGAGCUAGAAGCUUCUCCCUCGAAGAGACAGGAAUGGGGGUAGAUCUUGGCUGACCUGGGCUGAGUUUGCUGGAGUCGCUCACCGUGCACUGCAAAGCCAGUGCUGACAGAGCAAGAGGAAGGCCUGGGUGUCAGUGCUGCCCAGGGCUUGAGGGGAGGGAGGAAACGGCAGAUGGCUUGUCUUUAACUUGCAUCUCUCUCUUAGCGUGGAUUUUGUAAGCUUCUCUCAGCCUGCACUUUCUGGGGCUUGAUUUCUGAUCCAGUGACUCCACAAUUUUUAGAUCCAAACUCACCUCUCGUCGUCCUGCCAGAUUUGGAGGGGAGACAAAAUGGGGUCAUGUUUGUGUGAAAAUGUCUUUUACUAAUUUCCCAUUAUCUCUUUCUAAAACUUGGGGGUCCCCUGUUUAUUUUUGCUCUCUCCUACCCUUUUAGUCCUCUUCCCAUCCUCUACUCCUUCUGUUCUCACACUGCCAGCUUUCUUUGGGAUUUCACCUGAAAUCCACUAUGUUGACCUUUAUAUGCUGACAUUUGCAAUACCUCUUUUCUUACCUGAAUUUCAGAUAUUGCAAACAGGCUUGAGCAGAACGAUGGCAAUUUUUACUUACUUACUUUAAGUUGCAGCAAUAGUUCAAAAGAUUUUGAACUUCUAGAGUAAGGUGAUGCAUUGUUCUACUAAUUCAACCAUUUAAUACAGUCAGAAGAAUUUGCUGGCUUUUGAGUCAACAUGACAAAUUGAGGUCUCAAUAAUUUUUUGAAGUGAGUUAAGCAAAUGUUUACUUGAGUGAAGAAGGGCAAGAGUAAGUUCCACACUUCUGACGCCUUGCGCUGCUUUCUGUACCAGCUGAAAUGGUGAUUCUCAGACCAUGCUCCUACCAAAGAGUUUCCCAAUGAGAUGGGUUAAUGCGUUCAAAUGCUCAAAUUUUAACAGCAGCCUUUUCCCAAUUAACUGGAAAAAAUAGAUGAAUUGAAAUAUUUUCUUUAAGAUUUUUCUCCCAUUAAUCGUGUUCAUGCAUGUGGAAGCUGCCGCUGCUUACCUGUGAACGAAUGCCAACGGUGAUCAAAUCCAACGAAUCCAUAGCAAAUAGAUAUUAACAGAAAAUGCAGAACCCGAUGAUCUCGCUGAAUCUGAUUGCAUCUUUUUUUCCAAAUACCUCUUUCAUAUGUCUGAAAUGGUUCCUGGUUUCAUGAGGAAAUAAGCUCAAUAUUUGGGGAUUUCUAAAAUGAAUUCUUUGAUUUCUAGUUGUUCCACUAUCUAAACUAUACAAAGCUGUGACUCAUUAUCCAGACCAUGACAGAUCAAUGUCCCCUUUAAUUGUGAAAUUAUAAAAUGUUUAAAGUUCAGUCUUAAAAGCACUCUUACGCUACAUAUUCUACGUUCUUCAAAAUUCAUUGGCAACCCAGUCAGCCCGAAAGAGAUUCCUGGAUCAGUACUGAAGACCAAAAUUCUCGACCAACAUUGUACUUCCAACUGCCUCUUUCAUGGGCUUUUUCUUUUAGUUUUGCCACUCAAAACCACAAAGUCAGAAUGUUUAUUUUUUUCAAUAUAUAUCGAUUUGAAAAAUGGUUGUUCCCGUCUAGGAAAAUUUGGCUUCCUUAACUCCAAAUGAGCUUCUGCUAGGGUUCUUUGUUGAUGGUUGCGCUAGCUACGGAUGGAUUUUGAGCUUGCUGUUUAUCAGUUUGUGUUCGCGCGCACCUGUGUGUGUGCGUGUGUGUGUAGAUUUGAAUGACAUAUUCAACCUCAGGUCAACAAAAUGACUUAAACCACAAUUUCUGUGGGCCCAUUUAAAAGGAAAAACAUAUAAAAACACACAAAUCAAGUGCUAUGAAAUAAUGAAGGAAACGUCAUUCAUCAAACUGCUAGCCUGCAGUAAUGAGGCUGGAUGCUGAGCUUGGGUUCAGAGAAGUAAAGCCAUCUUAGAGCAUAUCUGACAUACGGAAGCCAUGGGCCCAUGUGUUUGUGAGAUAGAUCAACUUACAGGAGACUUCAUGCCUCCCUUGAGAGGACACACUUGAUACUCAUGACCCAUCUGUCAACUCAAAGUUUACUUUGGGUUUCAUGUUCCCAGUUCUUCCCAUCUUGGUGGGACAAGAAAGUGGAGCAGUAUUGCUUUCCAUGGAGACGUUACCACUCUUUGCAUGUUGUGGUGUGGUGAACACUUUAAUUCUACUUGUUUUCAUGUUUCAAUGUAUCAAUACAUUGUUCAAUAAAUGUAUCAAUAAACUUCCCAGGUGGAUUUUCUGUCUAGACUGUUACUUUUUCCAAAUAUCUAGUUCCUUUUAAAGUUAUUAUGUAAGAAGAAAGGACACACUUGCCCUAAAUUGAAAUAGAUAGCUAAGACAAUACGGCCCAGUACCGCAUGGAAGGUAAGUACCGGUAAAUGUACUGACUGAGAGCAACUACACUUAUUUAUCCAACUAAAAUUCUAUACUCUAUAACAAUUAAACGAAAGAAAAAAUUCAUUUGUUUUUCUGCUUAUUUUCCACAGCCUGUGUAUUCUGUUUCUCACUCAAUAAUGGUAAUUUUGUGCCACUUAACAAGACAAUU